RNAcentral lists this ribosomal RNA (465 nucleotides) under Vreelandella stevensii. RNAcentral describes it as "partial 16S ribosomal RNA". It matches the Rfam family "Bacterial small subunit ribosomal RNA", at positions 338 to 795 of the family's 1533-position model. Lineage: Bacteria; Pseudomonadati; Pseudomonadota; Gammaproteobacteria; Oceanospirillales; Halomonadaceae. The record is from RNAcentral.
CCUACGGGAGGCUGUAGUGGGGAAUAUUGGACAAUGGGGGGAACCCUGAUCCAGCCAUGCCGCGUGUGUGAAGAAGGCCCUCGGGUUGUAAAGCACUUUCAGUGAGGAAGAACGCCUGGUGGUUAAUACCCAUCAGGAAAGACAUCACUCACAGAAGAAGCACCGGCUAACUCCGUGCCAGCAGCCGCGGUAAUACGGAGGGUGCGAGCGUUAAUCGGAAUUACUGGGCGUAAAGCGCGCGUAGGUGGCUUGAUAAGCCGGUUGUGAAAGCCCCGGGCUCAACCUGGGAACGGCAUCCGGAACUGUCAAGCUAGAGUGCAGGAGAGGAAGGUAGAAUUCCCGGUGUAGCGGUGAAAUGCGUAGAGAUCGGGAGGAAUACCAGUGGCGAAGGCGGCCUUCUGGACUGACACUGACACUGAGGUGCGAAAGCGUGGGUAGCAAACAGGAUUAGAUACCCCAGUAGUC